CGCUGGCGGCAUGCUUUACACAUGCAAGUCGGACGGCAGCACAGAGAAGCUUGCUUCUUGGGUGGCGAGUGGCGAACGGGUGAGUAAUAUAUCGGAACGUACCGAGCAGUGGGGGAUAACUAAUCGAAAGAUUAGCUAAUACCGCAUAUUUUCUGAGGAAGAAAGCAGGGGGCCAUUUGGCCUUGCGCUGUUUGAGCGGCCGAUAUCUGAUUAGCUGGUUGGUGGGGUAAAGGCCUACCAAGGCGACGAUCAGUAGCGGGUCUGAGAGGAUGAUCCGCCACACUGGGACUGAGACACGGCCCAGACUCCUACGGGAGGCAGCAGUGGGGAAUUUUGGACAAUGGGCGCAAGCCUGAUCCAGCCAUGCCGCGUGUCUGAAGAAGGCCUUCGGGUUGUAAAGGACUUUUGUCAGGGAAGAAAAGGAUAGGGUUAAUACCCCUGUCUGAUGACGGUACCUGAAGAAUAAGCACCGGCUAACUACGUGCCAGCAGCCGCGGUAAUACGUAGGGUGCGAGCGUUAAUCGGAAUUACUGGGCGUAAAGCGGGCGCAGACGGUUACUUAAGCAGGAUGUGAAAUCCCCGGGCUCAACCUGGGAACUGCGUUCUGAACUGGGUGACUAGAGUGUGUCAGAGGGAGGUAGAAUUCCACGUGUAGCAGUGAAAUGCGUAGAGAUGUGGAGGAAUACCGAUGGCGAAGGCAGCCUCCUGGGAUAACACUGACGUUCAUGCCCGAAAGCGUGGGUAGCAAACAGGAUUAGAUACCCUGGUAGUCCACGCCCUAAACGAUGUCGAUUAGCUGUUGGGCAGCAUGACUGCUUAGUAGCGAAGCUAACGCGUGAAAUCGAC
RNAcentral lists this ribosomal RNA (846 nucleotides) under uncultured Neisseria sp. RNAcentral's name for it is "bacterial SSU rRNA". It matches the Rfam family "Bacterial small subunit ribosomal RNA", at positions 34 to 869 of the family's 1533-position model. Lineage: Bacteria; Pseudomonadati; Pseudomonadota; Betaproteobacteria; Neisseriales; Neisseriaceae. The record is from RNAcentral.